This 519-nucleotide ribosomal RNA is filed under the name uncultured bacterium. Its description in RNAcentral is "bacterial SSU rRNA". It matches the Rfam family "Bacterial small subunit ribosomal RNA", at positions 9 to 527 of the family's 1533-position model. The record is from RNAcentral.
GAGUUUGAACCUGGCUCAGGAUGAACGCUGGCGGCAUGCCUAACACAUGCAAGUCGAACGGGGUUUAUAUAACAGAACUCUCCGGAGGGAAGAUAUAUAAACCUAGUGGCGGACGGGUGAGUAACGCGUGGGCAACCUGCCCUGUACCGGGGGACAACAGCCAGAAAUGGCUGCUAAUACCGCAUAAGCCUGCUGUGCCGCAUGGCACAGCAGGGAAAACCACGGUGGUACAGGAUGGGCCCGCGUCUGAUUAGUUAGUUGGCAGGGUAACGGCCUACCAAGACAACGAUCAGUAGCCGGCUUGAGAGAGUGGACGGCCACAUUGGGACUGAGACACGGCCCAGACUCCUGCGGGAGGCAGCAGUGGGGAAUAUUGCACAAUGGGGGGAACCCUGAUGCAGCAAUGCCGCGUGGGUGAAGAAGCACUCCGGUGCGUAAAGCCCUGUCAGCAGGGAAGAAAAUGACAGUACCUGACCAAGAAGCCCCGGCUAACUACGUGCCAGCAGCCGCGGUAAUACG